This 76-nucleotide transfer RNA is filed under the name Acidaminobacter sp. Its description in RNAcentral is "tRNA-Trp". It matches the Rfam family "tRNA". Rfam says of the family: Transfer RNA (tRNA) molecules are approximately 80 nucleotides in length. Their secondary structure includes four short double-helical elements and three loops (D, anti-codon, and T loops). The record is from RNAcentral. RNAcentral also lists the same sequence under 1 other name. Lineage: Bacteria; Bacillati; Bacillota; Clostridia; Peptostreptococcales; Acidaminobacteraceae.
AGGGGUGUAGCUCAGCUGGUAGAGCAGCGGUCUCCAAAACCGCGUGCCGUGGGUUCAAAUCCUAUCACCCCUGCCA